Molecule: non-coding RNA, 1086 nt
Organism: Camellia sinensis
Lineage: Eukaryota; Viridiplantae; Streptophyta; Magnoliopsida; Ericales; Theaceae
Source: RefSeq, a predicted model, not a curated record
CAAACCAAACAGAGCCCAACGGCUCUUUAUUACACUGAGGCAUCACCGUCUGCCUCCAUACAUGUAGAAUGAUCUAUCCUCAUCCUCUCCCUCUACCUCUCACUCCUCAAACCCUUCUCCGUUCUCUCCUCCAUGAUCGAAACAUCUCUCACUCUCUCAGUCUGUCUCCCUCUCACUCUCUCACUCUCUAACUCUAUCUCCCUCAUCUGAAACCACUCCCCCUUCUCCUCUAUGGUUGUUGAUGUGGAUCGCCUCUAUGAUCGAAACCUCUCUCACUCUCUAAGUCUGUCUCCCUCUCAUUCACUCACUCUCCCACUCUGUCUCCAUUUUCUGAAAUCACACCCCAUUCUCCUCCAUCAUCGAAACCCCUCUCUGACCCUCUCACUCUCUCACACUCGGUCUCCUUCUCAGUCUCUCACUGUGUGAUGUGGAUCGAAACCCCCCUUUUGGUUGUUGAUGUGGAUCGGUGAUCGUGGUUGCUGAUGUGGAUCGGUGAUCGUGGUUGUUGAUGUAGAUCGGUGAUCGUAAUCGGUGAUCGAAACCCCUCCAUGAUAGAUUCACUCAGUUAGGCAAGUUUUUCUUGUUUGGACCUUCAAACAAUGUACCCUGGUGGUUAUACUGCAGAAGUAACAAACCUAUCUCCUAGAGCGACGGAGAAGGUUGUUUAUGAGUUCUUUGCUUACUGUGGUGAAGUUGAACAUGUGGAGAUCAUCAGUAGAAGCAUGUGGAUAAAGUUGAAGAUAUUACUUGGCUUAUCAAACCAAAUCUUAUGGUACCAAUAUGUAUCUCAAAUCAAACGAUUCUGGUGCGAUUCCUAUUUCCUUGUGCGCUUCUAGCUUCCAACUUAUAUUUACUAUUCUUGUAUAGGUAUUUUUAUCACCACAACGAAAUAAUUGUUGUAUUUUGUGUCAUAUAAAUUAAGUUCUGCCCUCAAAGUUGUCUUUUAUGGAGCCGUGUGUGACUUUAAUUUGAUUAUCCACUUUUCCCAUUCUGAAUUAUAAAAUCCAGUAAACAUAUUUUGUUGUUGGUAAGCAAUAUUGAUUAUCCUUGGACCCUUCCGAGGUGUUUGGGGCAUUUUCCGGUCCU